GUAGGUGGCAAGCGUUGUCCGGAAUUAUUGGGCGUAAAGCGCGCGCAGGCGGUUCUUUAAGUCUGAUGUGAAAGCCCACGGCUCAACCGUGGAGGGUCAUUGGAAACUGGAGAACUUGAGUACAGAAGAGGAAAGCGGAAUUCCACGUGUAGCGGUGAAAUGCGUAGAGAUGUGGAGGAACACCAGUGGCGAAGGCGGCUUUCUGGUCUGUAACUGACGCUGAGGCGCGAAAGCGUGGGGGAGCAAACAGGAUUAGAUACCCUGGUAGUCCACGCCGUAAACGAUGAGUGCUAAGUGUUAGGGGGUUUCCGCCCCUUAGUGCUGCAGCUAACGCAUUAAGCACUCCGCCCUGGGAGUACGACCGCAAGGUUG
This 372-nucleotide ribosomal RNA is filed under the name uncultured organism. RNAcentral's name for it is "partial 16S ribosomal RNA". It matches the Rfam family "Bacterial small subunit ribosomal RNA", at positions 527 to 896 of the family's 1533-position model. The record is from RNAcentral.